Molecule: ribosomal RNA, 498 nt
Filed under: uncultured bacterium
Lineage: Bacteria
Description: partial 16S ribosomal RNA
Rfam family: Bacterial small subunit ribosomal RNA
Source: RNAcentral
AUUGAACGCUGGCGGCAUGCCUUACACAUGCAAGUCGAACGGUAACAGGUCUUCGGAUGCUGACGAGUGGCGAACGGGUGAGUAAUACAUCGGAACGUGCCCAGUCGUGGGGGAUAACGCAGCGAAAGCUGUGCUAAUACCGCAUACGAUCUACGGAUGAAAGCGGGGGAUCGCAAGACCUCGCGCGAUUGGAGCGGCCGAUGGCAGAUUAGGUAGUUGGUGAGGUAAAGGCUCACCAAGCCUGCGAUCUGUAGCUGGUCUGAGAGGACGACCAGCCACACUGGAACUGGGACACGGUCCAGACUCCUACGGGAGGCAGCAGUGGGGAAUUUUGGACAAUGGGCGCAAGCCUGAUCCAGCAAUGCCGCGUGCAGGAUGAAGGCCUUCGGGUUGUAAACUGCUUUUGUACGGAACGAAAAAGCUUCUUCUAAUACAGGAGGCUCAUGACGGUACCGUAAGAAUAAGCACCGGCUAACUACGUGCCAGCAGCCGCCGUAA